CAAAGUAUCCGAGACACUGGCGAUUGGGAUUCAUCCUCUUGUGGGGUUCUCUUGGUCUUUUCGUUGAUAGAUGAUCCCAAGUAUCCUUUACAGAUCUUUGAGUCGUUCGUGAUCGUUUGGAGUUGGAGCUUCACAGUCUGGGACCGUGUGUAUUUUGGCUGCAGGUAGAGAGCAAGAUGGGAAUUCUGAAGGGAUCAGUUGUUUGCCACACUGAUGCUGUCUGUGCAAACUAUGUUGGAAGUUCUGCUCCACUUAUUAACAUUCAUUUUGCAAAGGCUAGAAAUUUGCAAAGUGCGUUUUGGGGGUCCUCUUGUAGACUCAGAACCAUAACUAGAACAUAUGGUCGUUUCCUCCAACCAUGCAAAAAGAAAUUGAGGUCAAUUCAAAGUAGUUUCAGCUCCUCUUCGGACGGAAAUGGCAGCAUAGCUGGAAACUUCAGCGAGAACGAUGAGGAAUAUAUUAACUCCAGUGUAAUUGAAGCUGUGGAGGUGAGAAGCAGAUCAGAUGGUCUCAUGAUAAAGAUGCGUGAUGGCCGACAUUUAAGAUGUGUGCAUAAUGACCCUCAAGCUGGAAACUUACUGUACUAUGCUCCUCGCCCUGUUAUCGUAUUAAAAAUGGAAGAUGGAAGUGAUAUUUUGCUUCCUAUCCUUGUCUUGGAGAUGCCAUGUACUAUGCUAAUGGCUGCUAUCAACAAUGUUCAGCUUGUUAGACCAACUGUUUAUGAAGUAGUCAAAGAGAUGAUUGAGAAGAUGGGAUAUGCUGUACAACUUGUUAGAGUCACUAAGCGAGUGAAUGAAGCUUACUUCUCUCAACUAUACCUGACAAAGAUUGGAAAUGGAAAAGAUACUAUUAGCUUUGAUCUCCGGCCUUCAGAUGCCAUUAAUAUAGCUGCUCGAUGCAAAGUGCCCAUACAAGUGAACAGACAUCUUGUAUACAGCAACGGAAUGAGAAUAGUUGAGCCGACCAAGUCAGCAGCAUCAACUGUUCAAUCAGACAUUGUUCUAUUCACAGAACUUGAUAGGUAACUUCUUUUAAAUGUUUUUGUAAUAGACUAUGGAGAUAUGUCUAACAAAUAUAUUCGAAGAGGUCCUUGCUUGUUUCUGCUUCGAUGAUGCAUUUUCUUGAAACAGUGUUUUGCAUCUCGGAAAAACAAAAAAAACCUUCUGCCUGGUCUCUCAUAAAACCUUCCGUAUAGGGUGCACAUCACAAGAUGAGAAAGUUAUCAGGAGGGGAUCCUGUGGAUUGGCAAACCUCAGGUUUAUGGACUGGUGGACUGGCACAGUGUGUGCCCAAUUAAAAUACCAUGUGCAGUAUGGCACACACCUGUGCCCACUGCUGAUACUCCUCCAAUGGGUUACAUGCUGACUGCUUGGGUGGCGUGGCUUGUAUAGAUUAUCCAUCCAUCAUAUCACAUUGUAGCAUAGAGAGCAUUGCUUGUUUCACCUAUUCCUCAUAAGUUGGACCACUAACAUAUGUGAUAGGUUGUUUGGUUUGUCAUGACCACACCGGUACGCUGGAGUUCCACUACUACUUCUCUGAGUGUGGUUUUCUAUAGCAUGGACUCUGUAGUUUGUAUCAUCGAAACUGACAAUUGGCAUGCUCAGUGCACUUGAUUCAUAUU
This is a non-coding RNA of Musa acuminata subsp. malaccensis (wild Malaysian banana), 1621 nucleotides long. The record is from RefSeq and is a predicted model, not a curated record. Lineage: Eukaryota; Viridiplantae; Streptophyta; Magnoliopsida; Zingiberales; Musaceae.